This 237-nucleotide ribosomal RNA is filed under the name uncultured bacterium. RNAcentral describes it as "partial 16S ribosomal RNA". It matches the Rfam family "Bacterial small subunit ribosomal RNA", at positions 26 to 261 of the family's 1533-position model. The record is from RNAcentral.
AGAUUGAACGCUGGCGGCACGCCUAACACAUGCAAGUCGAACGGUAACAUGAUUAGUAGCAAUACUAAUUGAUGACGAGUGGCGGACGGGUGAGUAACACGUAGGAACCUACCGAGUAGAGGGGGAUAACCAAGGGAAACUUUGGCUAAUACCGCAUGCACUCGAGAGAGUAAAGCUGGCCGAAAGGUGAGCGCUAUUUGAGGGGCCUGCGUCCGAUUAGCUAGUUGGUGAGGUAAA